GCCAUUGUAGUUUAAUGGUAAAACAAUUGUUUUGUAAACAAUUAAUUUCAGUUCAAUUCUGAAUUUUGGCU
RNAcentral lists this transfer RNA (71 nucleotides) under Storeatula sp. CCMP1868. RNAcentral's name for it is "tRNA-Thr". It matches the Rfam family "tRNA". From Rfam's summary of the family: Transfer RNA (tRNA) molecules are approximately 80 nucleotides in length. Their secondary structure includes four short double-helical elements and three loops (D, anti-codon, and T loops). Further hydrogen bonds mediate the characteristic L-shaped molecular structure. tRNAs have two regions of fundamental functional importance: the anti-codon, which is responsible for specific mRNA codon recognition, and the 3' end, to which the tRNAs corresponding amino acid is attached (by aminoacyl-tRNA synthetases). tRNAs cope with the degeneracy of the genetic code in two manners: having more than one tRNA (with a specific anti-codon) for a particular amino acid; and 'wobble' base-pairing, i.e. permitting non-standard base-pairing at the 3rd anti-codon position. The record is from RNAcentral. Lineage: Eukaryota; Cryptophyceae; Pyrenomonadales; Pyrenomonadaceae.